Neolamprologus brichardi is the source of this 740-nucleotide non-coding RNA. The record is from RefSeq and is a predicted model, not a curated record. NCBI's taxonomy places the organism in Eukaryota, Metazoa, Chordata, Actinopteri, Cichliformes, Cichlidae.
GCAGUGUGACACUGAACAGGCAGGAAAGCACUGGAAACGUGGCUCUGCUGACCUCUGUUUGCUGUUUCAGGGCAGUGAAGACAUCCUCAGGGUCGUGUCUAUGAACAAAGACUACCACUUUGAGUGCUACCACUGUGAGGAGUGCGGCAAGCAGCUCUCCGAUAAGCCCGGCUCGCAGUGCUUCCCUCUGGACUCCCACCUCCUCUGCCACUCGUGCCAUGUGAACAGAGUGUGCGCCACACAUAACGUCCCCCCUCACAACACACACUGAUCGGCUUCUAUGCAGCUGUAGAUUUAUUUUUAUGUAAAAGCUGGUCUUAAUAUGCUGUCCAUUCCCCUCCCAUUCGCUCUUUCUUUACAACAAACCUGCUGAGAUUGAGAUGUUUUCACACUUCACCUUUAUUUUGUCUGACUUGGAUCAGUUUCUGAUUGCCACAUGUACUGCCUGCUGUACUUCUUGUACUAUUACUGUACAACAGUUAAAAGGGAACAGGAAAACUACUGCUUUUUUAAUUCUUUACCCUAAUGUGGCUACUGUUUGCUGUAGAGAAAUGAGGGAUUUUUUUUUGUUUUUGUACAUACAUUAUUGCUAUCAGAAGUUUUGCACUUAAAUUUGACUUUACUGUAAGAGAUUUGUUACGUGAAUCUGUACAAGUUGGAAAAAACAUUACUGUAAUGAUUAUGUUGUAAUAAAUAUUUUCUCUGCUCACACAGAUUGUGUAGCUAGGUCAAAAUUCAAA